CUCCUAAAACAAUAGAAUCUAAUUUACUCCAAAAGAAAUGCAGCCCACCACUCUUCCCUGAAUAUGUGCUUGAGCUGCACCCUGGUGAGUUUCCCCGUCAGGAACCUACAGUCAGAGAUCAAGUUACGAAGAUAAUGAACCAUUUCUUCUUAAUAGAUGAAUGAGGGCUUGAGAGUCUGUUUCAAUCUCCAAAUUUUGGAGGUGAAGUAAAUCUGUUAAAAGCACCUUAAGGGCCAAAAGUUCAGCUGCUACACAAGUAAGAUUACCAAUGUUGUGCAUGAAUCCUCCAACCAAUUGGCCAUGGCAAUCACAGAUG
This 316-nucleotide long non-coding RNA is filed under the name Actinidia chinensis (golden kiwifruit). RNAcentral's name for it is "long non-coding RNA (ACHI_LNC006154)". The record is from RNAcentral. Lineage: Eukaryota; Viridiplantae; Streptophyta; Magnoliopsida; Ericales; Actinidiaceae.